RNAcentral lists this ribosomal RNA (207 nucleotides) under uncultured bacterium. RNAcentral describes it as "partial 16S ribosomal RNA". It matches the Rfam family "Bacterial small subunit ribosomal RNA", at positions 568 to 774 of the family's 1533-position model. The record is from RNAcentral.
CUCGUAGGCGGCCAACUAAGUCAGACGUGAAAUCCCUCGGCUUAACCGAGGAACUGCGUCUGAUACUGGAUGGCUUGAGAUCGGGAGAGGGAUGCGGAAUUCCAGGUGUAGCGGUGAAAUGCGUAGAUAUCUGGAGGAACACCGGUGGCGAAGGCGGCAUCCUGGACCGACACUGACGCUGAGGAGCGAAAGCCAGGGGAGCAAACG